AGCUGUUCGACCAACAUUGGUUGGUUGAGUGGCUAAGCGAAAGUGAUAAGUAUCCCACCUGGGGAGUACGGUCGCAAGACUGAAACUCAAAGGAAUUGACGGGGGCCCGCACAAGCGGUGGAGCAUGUGGUUUAAUUCGAUGAUACGCGAGGAACCUUACCAGGGCUUAAAUGUAAGUUGCAUGAUUUAGAGAUAGAUCUUUCUUCGGACUACUUACAAGGUGCUGCAUGGUUGUCGUCAGCUCGUGCCGUGAGGUGUCAGGUUAAGUCCUAUAACGAGCGCAACCCCUGUCGUUAGUUGCCAGCAAGUUAAGUUGGGCACUCUAGCGAGACUGCCAGUGCAAACUGUGAGGAAGGUGGGGAUGACGUCAAAUCAUCACGGCCCUUACGUCCUGGGCUACACACGUGCUACAAUGGUCGGUACAGAGAGCAGCCACUACGCGAGUAGGAGCGAAUCUAUAAAACCGAUCUCAGUUCGGAUCGCAGUCUGCAACUCGACUGCGUGAAGCUGGAAUCGCUAGUAAUCGGAUAUCAGCCAUGAUCCGGUGAAUACGUUCCCGGGCCUUGUACACACCGCCCGUCAAGCCAUGGAAGCUGGGAGUACCUGAAGUCGGUUACCGCAAGGAGCUGCCUAGGGUAAAACUGGUAACUGGGGCU
Molecule: ribosomal RNA, 656 nt
Filed under: uncultured marine bacterium
Lineage: Bacteria
Description: bacterial SSU rRNA
Rfam family: Bacterial small subunit ribosomal RNA
Source: RNAcentral